Molecule: non-coding RNA, 93 nt
Organism: Paramuricea clavata
Lineage: Eukaryota; Metazoa; Cnidaria; Anthozoa; Malacalcyonacea; Plexauridae
Source: the annotation of a GenBank genome assembly
GCUCUCGUGACCCAGUUGGUUAGUGCGUCGUACUUAUGAGCAGUACUUGAAUUAUAUAUGCGAAGGUCGAGGGUUCCAUCCCCUCCGAGAGCA